This 443-nucleotide ribosomal RNA is filed under the name uncultured Bacteroides sp. RNAcentral's name for it is "bacterial SSU rRNA". It matches the Rfam family "Bacterial small subunit ribosomal RNA", at positions 355 to 794 of the family's 1533-position model. Lineage: Bacteria; Pseudomonadati; Bacteroidota; Bacteroidia; Bacteroidales; Bacteroidaceae. The record is from RNAcentral.
GGAGGAAUAUUGGUCAAUGGACGAGAGUCUGAACCAGCCAAGUAGCGUGAAGGAUGACUGCCCUUUGGGUUGUAAACUUCUUUUAUAUGGGAAUAAAGUAGGGUAUGCAUACCCUUUUGUAUGUACCAUUAUGAAUAAGCAUCGGCUAACUCCGUGCCAGCAGCCGCGGUAAUACGGAGGAUGCGAGCGUUAUCCGGAUUUAUCGGGUUUAAAGGGAGCGUAGGUGGGCGAUUAAGUCAGUUGUGAAAGUUUGGGGCUCAACCUUAAAAUUGCAGUUGAUACUGAUUGUCUUGAGUGCGUUAAAGGUGGGCGGAAUUCGUGGUGUAGCGGUGAAAUGCUUAGAUAUCACGAAGAACUCCGAUUGCGUAGGCAGCUCACCGGGCCGUAACUGACACUGAUGCUCGAAAGUGUGGGUAUCAAACAGGAUUAGAUACCCUGGUAGU